AGAUCUCUCCCUUCUGGAUUUUUCCUUGCGAGCGUAGAUCUUCGGAGCUGGAGAUGUUCAAAGCUUCCGGAUGACAGAGCCGGAGAGGCCUUUAUGCUGCACGGACUCAGUGACCACAAGGCGAGUAAAGGUCUCUUCUAGCAAAAACAACAAAGAAAGCCCAAACUCAGGAGGCAGAAUCCACUGAAGAUGCUGAAAAUCUGAAGCUGUGAAUGAAAGAGAAGACUGUUUACCAGGCAAUAUGGGAGCUCUCAGUUUGCAGUGGUAAAAAUCCUCUGGUCUUGGUGAUUUCUCCAUGAAACCAAUGUCAAGAGUCGCGGUGACAAGGUCAGGGAGAGAUUUCCGCACAGUGAGGAGUUGCUUGAUGUAGAGGUGUGGAGACCAUUGCCAGGGGAGGAGCAGCAUGGACUGUGUCAUCUCUACUGGGCUGAAGUGAACUGGGGUUGUUGAAGGCUGCACCUGGAAGUUGGUGGGAAGAAUGAAUCGGGUCAAAAAUGAGACCCUCAUUUAAAGCACUUGAGACAACAUUUCAGCUAUAGAUUUACUAAAUGUUGUUAUACCUGUUACGCUUGUUGACCAGGUCUAAAGCAUGAUCUGGAUGUGCCUGUGCCGUUGGGAUGGUUGGGAAGUGUAGUUCAGUGUAGAUUUUUAUAAAUUAAAGCAGAUUUUUGAUGAUAGAACAGAAAGGAGGAC
Molecule: long non-coding RNA, 693 nt
Organism: Gallus gallus (chicken)
Lineage: Eukaryota; Metazoa; Chordata; Aves; Galliformes; Phasianidae
Source: Ensembl